This 207-nucleotide ribosomal RNA is filed under the name uncultured bacterium. RNAcentral's name for it is "partial 16S ribosomal RNA". It matches the Rfam family "Bacterial small subunit ribosomal RNA", at positions 568 to 774 of the family's 1533-position model. The record is from RNAcentral.
CGCGUAGGCGGUAAGAUGUGUGUGAUGUGAAAGCCCCGGGCUUAACCUGGGAAGUGCAUCGCAAACUAUCUAACUGGAGUAGAUGAGAGGGUGGUGGAAUUUCCGGUGUAGCGGUGAAAUGCGUAGAGAUCGGAAGGAACGUCAAUGGCGAAGGCAGCCACCUGGCAUCAUACUGACGCUGAGGCGCGAAAGCGUGGGGAGCGAACA